This 429-nucleotide ribosomal RNA is filed under the name Bacteroidota bacterium. Its description in RNAcentral is "Bacteroidetes bacterium partial 16S ribosomal RNA". It matches the Rfam family "Bacterial small subunit ribosomal RNA", at positions 355 to 776 of the family's 1533-position model. Lineage: Bacteria; Pseudomonadati; Bacteroidota. The record is from RNAcentral.
UAGGGAAUCUUCGGCAAUGGGGGGAACCCUGACCGAGCAACGCCGCGUGAGUGAAGAAGGUUUUCGGAUCGUAAAGCUCUGUUGUUAAGGAAGAACGAGUGUGAGAAUGGAAAGUUCAUGCUGUGACGGUACUUAACCAGAAAGGGACGGCUAACUACGUGCCAGCAGCCGCGGUAAUACGUAGGUGGCAAGCGUUGUCCGGAUUUAUUGGGCGUAAAGCGCGCGCAGGCGGACUAGCCAGUCAGUCUUAAAAGUUCGGGGCUUAACCCCGUGAUGGGAUUGAAACUACUAGUCUAGAGUAUCGGAGAGGAAAGUGGAAUUCCUAGUGUAGCGGUGAAAUGCGUAGAUAUUAGGAAGAACACCAGUGGCGAAGGCGACUUUCUGGACGAACACUGACGCUGAGGCGCGAAAGCCAGGGGAGCGAACGGG